This 136-nucleotide microRNA precursor is filed under the name Hordeum vulgare. Its description in RNAcentral is "microRNA MIR1122". It matches the Rfam family "MIR1120/MIR1122 microRNA precursor family". Lineage: Eukaryota; Viridiplantae; Streptophyta; Magnoliopsida; Poales; Poaceae. The record is from RNAcentral.
UAUCUACUCUCUCCCUUCCAAAAUUCUUGUCUUACAUUUGUCUACAUAUGAAUGUAUCUAGUCAUGCUUUAGUAUUUAGAUAUAUCUAUUUUUAGACAAACCUAAGACAAAAAAUUUGAGACGGAGGGAGUAAUAU